GCCGUUAUAGCUCAGUGGCAGAGCACUGGUCUUGUAAACCAGCGGUCGUGAGUUCGAUCCUCACUGGCGGCU
This 72-nucleotide transfer RNA is filed under the name Rhipicephalus sanguineus (brown dog tick). RNAcentral's name for it is "transfer RNA threonine (anticodon UGU)". It matches the Rfam family "tRNA". From Rfam's summary of the family: Transfer RNA (tRNA) molecules are approximately 80 nucleotides in length. Their secondary structure includes four short double-helical elements and three loops (D, anti-codon, and T loops). Further hydrogen bonds mediate the characteristic L-shaped molecular structure. tRNAs have two regions of fundamental functional importance: the anti-codon, which is responsible for specific mRNA codon recognition, and the 3' end, to which the tRNAs corresponding amino acid is attached (by aminoacyl-tRNA synthetases). tRNAs cope with the degeneracy of the genetic code in two manners: having more than one tRNA (with a specific anti-codon) for a particular amino acid; and 'wobble' base-pairing, i.e. permitting non-standard base-pairing at the 3rd anti-codon position. The record is from Rfam by way of RNAcentral. Lineage: Eukaryota; Metazoa; Arthropoda; Arachnida; Ixodida; Ixodidae.